GUUCCAGGCCUUUACGGGGCGCAGCAGGCGCGAAAACUUUACAAUGCGGGCAACCGUGAUAAGGGGACACCGAGUGCCAGCAACAUUUGCUGGCUGUCCAGGUGCGUAAAAUGCACCUGUUAGCAAGGGCCGGGCAAGACCGGUGCCAGCUCGCCGCGGUAACUACCGGCGGCCCGAGUGGUGAUCGUUAUUAUUGGGUCUACAAGGGUGCGCGUAGCCGGUUUGGUCAGUCCUCCGGGAGAAUAAGUCAUGUUCUCCUGACC
RNAcentral lists this ribosomal RNA (263 nucleotides) under archaeon M21. RNAcentral describes it as "partial 16S ribosomal RNA". It matches the Rfam family "Archaeal small subunit ribosomal RNA", at positions 313 to 575 of the family's 1478-position model. The record is from RNAcentral.